UACGGAGGGGGCUAGCGUUGUUCGGAAUUACUGGGCGUAAAGCGCACGUAGGCGGCUUGGUAAGUUGGGGGUGAAAUCCCGGGGCUCAACCUCGGAAUUGCCUCCAAGACUGCUUGGCUUGAGUUCGGAAGAGGUGAGUGGAAUUCCCAGUGUAGAGGUGAAAUUCGUAGAGAUUGGGAAGAACACCAGUGGCGAAGGCGGCUCACUGGUCCGAUACUGACGCUGAGGUGCGAAAGCGUGGGGAGCAAACAGG
RNAcentral lists this ribosomal RNA (253 nucleotides) under uncultured prokaryote. Its description in RNAcentral is "partial 16S ribosomal RNA". It matches the Rfam family "Bacterial small subunit ribosomal RNA", at positions 524 to 776 of the family's 1533-position model. The record is from RNAcentral.